RNAcentral lists this ribosomal RNA (253 nucleotides) under uncultured prokaryote. RNAcentral's name for it is "partial 16S ribosomal RNA". It matches the Rfam family "Bacterial small subunit ribosomal RNA", at positions 524 to 776 of the family's 1533-position model. The record is from RNAcentral.
GACAGAGGGUGCAAGCGUUAAUCGGAAUUAUUGGGCGUAAAGAGCGCGUAGGUGGAUUGGUAAGUUGGAUGUGAAAUCCCUGGGCUUAACCUGGGAACUGCAUUCAAAACUGCAAGUCUAGAGUAUAGUAGAGGGAAGUGGAAUUUCCGGUGUAGCGGUGAAAUGCGUAGAUAUCGGAAAGAACAUCAGUGGCGAAGGCGACUUCCUGGACUAAUACUGACACUGAGGUGCGAAAGCGUGGGGAGCAAACAGG